GCACUGCUGAAGAGUCCCAUACGGGGGCGAAACGGCCGUCCAGUGU
Non-coding RNA from Schistosoma curassoni, 46 nucleotides. NCBI's taxonomy places the organism in Eukaryota, Metazoa, Platyhelminthes, Trematoda, Strigeidida, Schistosomatidae. The record is from Rfam.